This 511-nucleotide ribosomal RNA is filed under the name Candida albicans. Its description in RNAcentral is "eukaryotic LSU rRNA". The stretch from base 144 to 297 matches the Rfam family "5.8S ribosomal RNA". The record is from RNAcentral. Lineage: Eukaryota; Fungi; Ascomycota; Pichiomycetes; Serinales; Debaryomycetaceae.
GGGCUUCUGACUGCUUAUUGCACCACAUGUGUUUUUCUUUGAAACAAACUUGCUUUGGCGGUGGGCCCAGCCUGCCGCCAGAGGUCUAAACUUACAACCAAUUUUUUAUCAACUUGUCACACCAGAUUAUUACUAAUAGUCAAAACUUUCAACAACGGAUCUCUUGGUUCUCGCAUCGAUGAAGAACGCAGCGAAAUGCGAUACGUAAUAUGAAUUGCAGAUAUUCGUGAAUCAUCGAAUCUUUGAACGCACAUUGCGCCCUCUGGUAUUCCGGAGGGCAUGCCUGUUUGAGCGUCGUUUCUCCCUCAAACCGCUGGGUUUGGUGUUGAGCAAUACGACUUGGGUUUGCUUGAAAGACGGUAGUGGUAAGGCGGGAUCGCUUUGACAAUGGCUUAGGUCUAACCAAAAACAUUGCUUGCGGCGGUAACGUCCACCACGUAUAUCUUCAAACUUUGACCUCAAAUCAGGUAGGACUACCCGCUGAACUUAAGCAUAUCAAAAGCCGGAGGAA